Molecule: ribosomal RNA, 449 nt
Filed under: uncultured bacterium
Lineage: Bacteria
Description: partial 16S ribosomal RNA
Rfam family: Bacterial small subunit ribosomal RNA
Source: RNAcentral
GUCGAGAAUCUUUCACAAUGGGGGCAACCCUGAUGGAGCGACGCCGCGUGGAGGAUAAGGUCUUCGGAUUGUAAACUCCUGUCAUGCGUGAACAAGGUUGCUUGGUUAAUACCUGGGCAAAUUGAUGGUAACGCAAGAGGAAGAGACGGCUAACUCUGUGCCAGCAGCCGCGGUAAUACAGAGGUCUCAAGCGUUGUUCGGAAUCACUGGGCGUAAAGGGUGCGUAGGUGGCGUGGUAAGUCAGACGUGAAAGCCCGGGGCUCAACCUCGGAACUGCAUCCGAUACUGCCAUGCUAGAGUACUGGAGAGGUGACUAGAAUUCUCGGUGUAGCAGUGAAAUGCGUAGAUAUCGAGAGGAAUACCAAAGGCGUAGGCAGGUCACUGGACAGUUACUGACACUGAGGCACGAAGGCCAGGGGAGCGAACGGGAUUAGAAACCCUAGUAGUCC